GACGUAGGGCGCGAGCGUUGUCCGGAUUUAUUGGGCGUAAAGCGCUCGCAGGUGGUUCGUUGCGUCGUGCGUGAAAGACCCCGGCUCAACUGGGGGAUGUCGUGCGAUACGGGCGGACUGGAGGCCAGUAGGGGGAUGCGGAAUUCCUGGUGUAGCGGUGAAAUGCGCAGAUAUCAGGAGGAACACCGGUGGCGAAGGCGGUUCUCUGGGCAUUACCUGACGCUGAGGAGCGAAAGUGUGGGGAGCGAACAGG
This 253-nucleotide ribosomal RNA is filed under the name uncultured bacterium. RNAcentral's name for it is "partial 16S ribosomal RNA". It matches the Rfam family "Bacterial small subunit ribosomal RNA", at positions 524 to 776 of the family's 1533-position model. The record is from RNAcentral.